Molecule: ribosomal RNA, 433 nt
Filed under: uncultured bacterium
Lineage: Bacteria
Description: partial 16S ribosomal RNA
Rfam family: Bacterial small subunit ribosomal RNA
Source: RNAcentral
AACGAACGCUGGCGGCAUGCCUAACACAUGCAAGUCGAACGAGACCUUCGGGUCUUGUGGCGCACGGGUGCGUAACGCGUGGGAACCUGCCCUUAGGUUCGGAAUAACUCCCCGAAAGGGGUGCUAAUACCGGAUAAAGUCUUCGGACCAAAGAUUUAUCGCCUUUGGAUGGGCCCGCGUUGGAUUAGCUAGUUGGUAGGGUAAAAGCCUACCAAGGCGACGAUCCAUAGCUGGUCUGAGAGGAUGAUCAGCCACACUGGGACUGAGACACGGCCCAGACUCCUACGGGAGGCAGCAGUGGGGAAUAUUGGACAAUGGGCGAAAGCCUGAUCCAGCAAUGCCGCGUGAGUGAUGAAGGCCUUAGGGUUGUAAAGCUCUUUUACCCGGGAUGAUAAUGACAGUACCGGGAGAAUAAGCUCCGGCUAACUCCGUG